GCUGAGACACAGUGGGGGAAUAUUUUUAUAGUUUCAGGCGAAAGGUUCAGUGACUAUUUUUAAUGAUGCCAAAAGUAAUGUAAGGGAGAGCUGCAUGAGAUAUUGGGAGUAUUUAUUAUGCUUUGCUCAUUGGCGAGUUCGUUCCAAGACAUUCUUUUUUCCUCUGCUAUACCAUAUUGAUCUUUUCAAGGUAAACUAGUAACUAAUAGCCAGCCCUAAGUGUUUGCCAUUUUGAUAACGAUUACAUCCAAGCACAGCCAGUUUAGCUCUAAACAAGAGUGCUGUAGAUCUUGAAGAUACAAAGUUGCAGUGCUUGAACUUUAAUUGAAAGCCAAUUUAUUAGUUUAAUGUCACACAUUUCCUCCCGCUUGGCGCUGUCCAACAAUAUAAACUCCACAUAAAGCCAACUUGAAAUACAGCCAAAAAUCCCUGGUUAAGAAUGAUGUUGCUUCCUAAAGGCUAAAAGAUAAUGUGAAUUACUGAAUAAAGAACACCCCACAGUCUUUUUGGGGGGGAGAGCAUCACAGAAAAGUCACUGCACCAUAUACAUGCUGCCUUUGCUUAGGGGGGAAAGCCCCCCUCCCUUGCUUUAAGAAGCUGAGGAACUACAAAUGCUAUCAGGCAUUGAUAUACAGCAGGGGUGGCCAACUCCCAAGAGACACUGAUCUACUCAAAGAGUUAAAAACUGGCAGUGAUCUACCCACUUUUGGGGGGUUCAGGCCAAAGUAGUUGAGCUUUUUAAAGGGAGGAGGAAAGCCCCAUUUUUGGGGGUGCAGGGCAAAAAUGUUGAGCUUUCUAAGAGGAGCCAAAGUUGUUGAGCUGCUUUAGGGGGAGCCAGUGAUCUAUCACAGACGUGUCAGGAGCUCAGCCUACAUUCAAUAGGAACCUGGCAGAGACACAUGCCCGACUGGCAUGUUCUCUCCCUCCUGGUCAUUCGGGAGCUUCAAAAGCUUUCUUCUGCCUGAACAUCACAGCGACUGAUGCCAACCGACACCAGCACACUUAGGGAUCUGCAGAGUUUGCGCAGUUGCAUAACAGACCUCAGCAACUCAGCAUUUUGGCUAAUCUACUUUAUUUAUGUAUAAACACACACGGAGCACCGCAGCUUGGCUCCCUGUCUAGCAUCAGACAGCAAAGAGAAAAAGAACAAAGGACAAUAAUCCCAUUUCACGAAACACAGUAACACAAACAUCCUGUCUCCGUCACUUCCCACUUUGUGGAGUCAAAACAUACCACGUCAUGUGAAAGACAACAAUCCCAUGACUGCAAUCAUGGAGCAGGAAUUCUAACAUUAGAGCCGUUUCAUACACACAAUGCCAAACUGGUUUGGUGUUGCAUCUGAGCCCACCCCAUCCUCUAUAAAAGGCUCGAGAUCAAAGUCAUUAUCUUCAUUUUUUUCCAUUUGUGGUUGGGAUGAAAGCAGUAGAAAAAGGUAUGGCAGAAAGCUUUUGUUGAAGUAUCAACAGUCCUGAAACUGGUUGUCUGCAGAUGCAAAAUUAACCCUUAUUUGACAGUACACAAAGAACUUGUCAUAUUCUCAUUUGUGGAACCUUGAUGAGAAGUAGCCAAAACUUUACAAAACACAGACUAUCUCACCAUUGAAUUUUGGUACCAAAUGCGUGGCACAUAGAAAAGUUAACACAUCAGCUCAGGACUUCCCAACAAAUUGCUUUUAUAUACCUUAGUCGUCCUUACUCAAUUUGUUACAACCUUCUCAAACCUCAAAUAAGUGCACUUCAUUCUACAUUUGGCAUUUCUGUUGAACUACGUUUUACUUUAAUUGCCUUGAUUGGAGGUUGUCAUUGUGUCUAGUCUUUUGGUACCCAUUUCCUUUUGAAUAAGUUUUUAAUGUGGAAAAAUAAGGAGUGGGGCAGUGGAAUCCACUUGAAUUUACUCCUCAGUGUGUCAUUCAGCAUUCCCUGGAGAAAAAGCAGCAAGUAAUAAAUAGAUUUUCUUGGCGAGGAAAGUGUCCUUACUUCACAAAUGGUUGCUUUGUUGGAGGCUGCUUCCCUUGCUUUGUUUUCCUUACAUAAUCUUUUGGACUCUCUGUCAAGAUAGCGGUCUAAGUCAACUAUGGAAAGAUGCCCUGUAUAUAAAGAACAGAGGUUAUUCUUGAUCGUUUGUCUCUGUACAGUCAAGGCAGCACACAAAAACAAGUGCCUUCGGCUUUAGAAUUUAUUUACAUAAUUUACAUAGGAUGCACAGACAGCCAAGUCAAGGUUGUUUAUAUAUCUGUUUGGUGUAAGACAUGACCUUAACUUGCAUCAAUACAGCAUUUUCUGAAAAGUGCACAUAAUUUUCUAAAGCUUGUUGAGAGCAGACGUCAUCAAGCACAGUGGAAUAAAACCUGCUUUUGCUGAAAAACAAGCAGAGGGAAAUUCCAUAUAAAUUCCAGAUAAAGUGAGACUUGAAGACUUUAGUAUGUUUACCUACAUGAGAUCAGUUGACUCCCCCCCCCCCCGAAUUAUUCCUCUUUCAUCAAACUUUGCAAACGCCGAACAUGGAAAAGUUAUGAACUGCUCCAUUAUGCUGGCAUGCAGUAAAAAGGUAAAGGGACCCCUGACUGUUAGGUCCAGUCGCAGAUGACUCUGGGGUUGCGGCACUCAUCUUGCUUUAUUGGCCGAGGGAGCUGGCGUACAGCUUCCGGGUCAUGUGGCCAGCAUGACUAAGCUGCUUCUGGCGAACUAGAGCAGCACAUGGAAACGGCGUUCACCUUCCCGCCGGAGCGGUACCUAUUUAUCUACUUGCACUUCGUGCUUUUGAACUGCUAGGUUGGCAGGAGCUGGGACCGAGCAAUUGGAGCUCACUCUGUCGUGGGGAUUCGAACCACCAACCUUCUGAUCGGCAAGCCCUAGGCUCUGUGGUUUAACCCACAGCGCCAUCCGUGUCCCACGCAGUACAUGCAGUACCCAUGUAUUAUUCCUAUUUGUCAGAAUCAUGGUGGAAAAGGGCUCAGUGUUUGAGCCUGACCUGCUAAAAACUAUCAGCACCUUCCCAUCAACCUUUCAGAGAACAAUUAUUAUGCAGUCCAACAACAGUGAGAUGCAAAUGGAAAGACAAUGGUUUGAAAGAAGCAAAAAGCCGCCAAUAAGUAAGGUAUACCAAACAUUCCACUUUGUCUGCAUUUGACAUGGAGAAAAUGGCUCCAUCACUUUCAAGCGACCAACUCAAGUUCCAGCUUUCAAAUGGAGACAAGGAAAUAAAAUAAGCUACUCAGCGCCCCUACAAAUCUGAGCUUCAGACGUUGGAUUUGUAUGCUCACUGUGUUCUAUUCAUGCUUCCAAGGCUCUGUAUAAUCAUGCUGAAUAUUAUCAACAUCCUUGAGCCCUUGUCAUUGGUUAUUUACAGCAUCUCUGCAUUUUUCAUUGAGUUCAUCUUUAGCGCAUUAUCCCCUCCCCAACGCUAUUCAUAGACUUUUUGCUAUUAAUGCAAAUAAUACGUUUAUGAAGAUGAAUUCUUAUGCAUGUCUUAAGGUUUUCAAAUUCAAAACAGUAUCACAACAUUCAAGGUUAUUUUAACUUUUGUAUGUUUUUAAGCAUCGGUAUAAUUUUUUCUUGUUUAUAUUGUUUUGUCUUUUGUAUUAAAUGUUAUGAAACAAAUAAUACAUACCUUU
Molecule: non-coding RNA, 3613 nt
Organism: Podarcis lilfordi (Lilford's wall lizard)
Lineage: Eukaryota; Metazoa; Chordata; Lepidosauria; Squamata; Lacertidae
Source: the annotation of a GenBank genome assembly